This 776-nucleotide unclassified non-coding RNA is filed under the name Hevea brasiliensis (rubber tree). The record is from RNAcentral. Lineage: Eukaryota; Viridiplantae; Streptophyta; Magnoliopsida; Malpighiales; Euphorbiaceae.
GAAGGAGCUUCAGGGUUCAUUUUAGUUCAUCUUCUUGAACAGGUAUGUGUUAAGAAUAAGGUGGAAAAGGGGCUUGAUGAGAAUCGGAAGUUUUGUGCAUCCUGCAUUUUUGUUCUGCGCAUGUUCUUAUUUGCUAAGUAGCUCAGUACAUAGCAAUCAACUCUAUUCUAUAUUCCCAAGUUCAUUGUUUUAAUGUGCUUAAGGAACUACAUAUAGCAAUUAGCACGUAUAGCAAAACUUUUAAACUUCUUUAAUUUAUUAGAUGAAACUAAUUGAAAUUUUUUGUGUGAUCAAAAGGUCAGUGUAAAUAUAUAGCUAGAUAAAGCUUAAAAUAAAGUGCAAAAUGAUUAGUCACAAAAUUGGAUCAAAUAACUUAAAUUAAAUAUCACUGUUAUUGAGGAUGAAACUUGCUAUAGUGGAAUCCACAUCCAUUCAAGGCCUCACUGUUCUUAAUUGUGCCACAGCCAAAUAGAGAUAUAUCCUAGCUAGCUUUAUCCCAUUUUAGUUAGAGCUAUGAAAAUUUCAGCCUUUAGUUAGGUUAGGCUUUUUCUGUCCAGUAUAACUUAUUUCACAUUGCUAUCUCAAAGUAAUCUACAUCGUAAUUUGAGGUAAGAAGACUUCUAUAAAUCUUACAUAUAUGAACUGAAAGAAGAUGAAAAAUCCAAUUUAAUCAACAAUUGUAUUGAUAAAUAAGUUGAUUGAUUAUCAACAUCUUUGGUAAACAUGACAGCUUGUGUACUCUGAACAUGAUGCAAUUUCCAUUAUAUGGGUAAUUG